AAAUAAAUGAAAACCAGAAAGUCUGCAUGAACUCCUGUAACAUGAAAUAACUGAGUCCUUGCCAGAUUUGCUUACUAUCUAAAAAUAGUUCAAUCUCAUCUAUUCAGAAUCUCCUGUGAUAACAGAAGGAGUAACAUAAAGACCAAGAGACAUGUGAGAAGCUAAGUCAGAGGCUUGAAAGGAAGCAAAAAGAUAAAUGGAUUCUGGAAGAGAGGAACUCUGUUGUAUUUGUACAGAGAAUCUGAAGCUGGAAAUUCCUUCACAGAUGCCAGGAGUGAGUUGACAAAGAAGACUUUCUGCAUACCUUACUGCUCUGCCUGGAAGCUAAAGAAAAAAUAAUCCUUUUGUAUGCCACAUGAAGCAGGUACUUCAGGAAGAGUUACGCCUAGUUAUUUCUUUGUCCAAAACAAAGCAGAAGAUUGGUUUUUAUCUUCCCUUGUGAAGUUUUCAGUACAGGAAAAGAUUUGUUUCUGCAAACUCUGUCCACAGUAGUCCUAGGUUGAAGUUACCUCUUUAUAUUUGGCUGGUAUAACUCUUUAGCUAAAAUGGAAUCUUUUCUCCUCCAAAAUGGUCUGAGCUGACUCCUC
This 587-nucleotide long non-coding RNA is filed under the name Zonotrichia albicollis (white-throated sparrow). Its description in RNAcentral is "lncRNA (ENSZALG00000008951.1)". Lineage: Eukaryota; Metazoa; Chordata; Aves; Passeriformes; Passerellidae. The record is from RNAcentral.